This 821-nucleotide long non-coding RNA is filed under the name Bos taurus (domestic cattle). RNAcentral's name for it is "long non-coding RNA NONBTAT014964". The record is from RNAcentral. Lineage: Eukaryota; Metazoa; Chordata; Mammalia; Artiodactyla; Bovidae.
CUAUGAAACAAACCUUCAAUAUCAAGGAACAAAAUGGAUUAUUCACCUGACACAGAUAUAGUUAUUUAUCUCUUAGGUUGUAAGUUUAAUUUUUAAAUUGUCAUUUUCUGUGGCAAAUAUUGAUAACACAAAUGACUGCAAACAAAACCAUAAAAUAAUUGAAAUUCUUACACUUUGAGAAAACUGAUAGUUCUCUGUUAAACAAAUUUUCUACAUUUAUUUCUUAGAAAUAUUUCCAAAAUAUUUGUUUUUCAUUUUUUGAUGAAAAGUCAAACCUUCUGGAAAGCAAGAUAUUUGUUCUUAAAUUGUGUAUCUAUCUCUCAAAGCCCAUGUAGUUUUUUAAUUUGAUGAAAGGAAAGAAAGUAGAUUGAAAAAGUUAACAUUUGUUGAUCACUAACAAGAUUGUAGGGGCAUAGGAGCAUAAUUAACCCAAUAAUACUUAAAUAUUUUAGUCAUGGGGGAAAUUGGGGCUGUUUCUGAGUCUUAUUAGGAGAACAUAUUUUUCUCUUUAAUAUGGAGCGGCCCACAUUUUGGAAUCUUCUCAUUUUGAUACACAUUUUUAUAGUUUCAAGAGAAUUCCCUUCAACUAGAUUUGCCUUAUUUUCUUGGAUUAAGUCUACUAGUAAUUUUGUUUUAAGUGAGGGCCAUGACUAUUUUGCUUUUUUUAGUUUUGGAUACAGUGUGGCAUCCUGUGAAAACCAUCUCAUUAGUUUGCUUUUUAUCCUUUGUUUUGCUUUUUAAGUGCAGACCUCAAAUUGAUUUUUGCAUAUAAGUAGUAACUUUUAUGUUUGCAUAUAUGUGAUAGAGCUUUGCCAAUUACC